Molecule: ribosomal RNA, 484 nt
Filed under: uncultured bacterium
Lineage: Bacteria
Description: partial 16S ribosomal RNA
Rfam family: Bacterial small subunit ribosomal RNA
Source: RNAcentral
AUUGAACGCUGGCGGCAGGCCUAACACAUGCAAGUCGAGCGGAUGAAGGGAGCUUGCUCCUGGAUUCAGCGGCGGACGGGUGAGUAAUGCCUAGGAAUCUGCCUGGUCGUGGGGGAUAACGUCCGGACACGGGCGCUAAUACCGCAUACGUCCUGAGGGUGAAAGUGGGGGAUCUUCGGACCUCACGCUAUCAGAUGAGCCUAGGUCGGAUUAGCUAGUUGGUGGGGUAAAGGCCUACCAAGGCGACGAUCCGUAACUGGUCUGAGAGGAUGAUCAGUCACACUGGAACUGAGACACGGUCCAGACUCCUACGGGAGGCAGCAGUGGGGAAUGUUGGACAAUGGGCGAAAGCCUGAUCCAGCCAUGCCGCGUGUGUGAAGAAGGUCUUCGGAUUGUAAAGCACUUUAAGUUGGGAGGAAGGGCAGUAAGUUAAUACCUUGCUGUUUUGACGUUACCAACAGAAUAAGCACCGGCUAACUUCGUG